RNAcentral lists this ribosomal RNA (500 nucleotides) under uncultured bacterium. RNAcentral's name for it is "partial 16S ribosomal RNA". It matches the Rfam family "Bacterial small subunit ribosomal RNA", at positions 30 to 523 of the family's 1533-position model. The record is from RNAcentral.
AUUGAACGCUGGCGGCAUGCCUUACACAUGCAAGUCGAACGGUAACAGGGAGCUUGCUCCGCUGACGAGUGGCGAACGGGUGAGUAAAGUAUCGGAACGUACCAUUCAGUGGGGGAUAACGUAGCGAAAGUUGCGCUAAUACCGCGUAUUCUGUGAGCAGGAAAGCAGGGGAUCGCAAGACCUUGCGCUGAUUGAGCGGCCGAUAUCAGAUUAGCGAGUUGGUGAGGUAAAGGCUCACCAAGGCGACGAUCUGUAGCGGGUCUGAGAGGAUGAUCCGCCACACUGGAACUGAGACACGGUCCAGACUCCUACGGGAGGCAGCAGUGGGGAAUUUUGGACAAUGGGGGCAACCCUGAUCCAGCCAUGCCGCGUGAGUGAAGAAGGCCUUCGGGUUGUAAAGCUCUUUCGGCCGGGAAAAAAUCGCACGGAUUAAUACCCUGUGUGGAUGAUGGUACCGGAAUAAGAAGCACCGGCUAACUACGUGCCAGCCGCCGCGGUAA